GGCUGUGCUGGCCCUGACUGAGAGGAGGGGGUUUCCACUUCCGUCACCUGGCAAGGGAACCUCCACAGCCCAAGAAUAUUAACAUUUAUCAGGUGCCGGGCAUGGGCCUCAUGUGUUUUAUGUAAUUCAAUCCUCCCAACAAAAGUAUGAGAAAGACCACACUCAGGCCAAGCACUGUGGUUCCCGCCUGAAAUCCCAGCGCUUUGGGAGGUGGAGGCAAGAGGAUUGCUUGAGCUCAGAAGUUCAAGACCACCCUGGGCAACACAAGCCAGCCCUGCAGCACAGCCUUCAACAUGAGCAACUCCUGCUCUCUGUAGCUCCAGCCCCAGCCUGGACCUAUCUUUCAGAGCCAUAAUGCUGAGACAGUCCCUGAGUCUUGGAUGAACACGUGAGGAGAAGAUGCUGUUCUGAGAGCUGCUGAUAAUACGUGGAUCCAAACCCACAGGCUUGAGCUGCUUAAUUGAAAUUCACGUCAAAAUGAAAUUCUGGUUUAGCUCAACUUGACUACUAUGGAUGAUGAAAAUAAAUCCCUGGGUCACACAAGGAUAGUGAUUGAGUAGAGCUUGUUUGCUGGCACAGGAAUGACAUUUCAACUGGAAUUAAAUUGUCGUCAGUUAACAGAACUGAAUUUUCAGUCAUUCUUUGACUUGAAUUUUCUUUUUUCCCAAGAUAACAUGGACAGGACCCAG
RNAcentral lists this long non-coding RNA (689 nucleotides) under Homo sapiens (human). RNAcentral describes it as "HSALNT0360543". Lineage: Eukaryota; Metazoa; Chordata; Mammalia; Primates; Hominidae. The record is from RNAcentral.